Molecule: transfer RNA, 64 nt
Filed under: Trogoderma variabile
Lineage: Eukaryota; Metazoa; Arthropoda; Insecta; Coleoptera; Dermestidae
Description: tRNA-Asp
Source: RNAcentral
GAAAACUUAGUUAAUAAAUAACGUCAGAUUGUCAAACUGAAAUAAUUAAUCAUAAUAGUUUUUU